RNAcentral lists this ribosomal RNA (761 nucleotides) under Pantoea agglomerans. Its description in RNAcentral is "bacterial SSU rRNA". It matches the Rfam family "Bacterial small subunit ribosomal RNA", at positions 771 to 1532 of the family's 1533-position model. Lineage: Bacteria; Pseudomonadati; Pseudomonadota; Gammaproteobacteria; Enterobacterales; Erwiniaceae. The record is from RNAcentral.
AACCGGAUUUUAUACCCUGGUAGUCCACGCCGUAAACGAUGUCGACUUGGAGGUUGUUCCCUUGAGGAGUGGCUUCCGGAGCUAACGCGUUAAGUCGACCGCCUGGGGAGUACGGCCGCAAGGUUAAAACUCAAAUGAAUUGACGGGGGCCCGCACAAGCGGUGGAGCAUGUGGUUUAAUUCGAUGCAACGCGAAGAACCUUACCUACUCUUGACAUCCACGGAAUUUGGCAGAGAUGCUUUAGUGCCUUCGGGAACCGUGAGACAGGUGCUGCAUGGCUGUCGUCAGCUCGUGUUGUGAAAUGUUGGGUUAAGUCCCGCAACGAGCGCAACCCUUAUCCUUUGUUGCCAGCGAUUCGGUCGGGAACUCAAAGGAGACUGCCGGUGAUAAACCGGAGGAAGGUGGGGAUGACGUCAAGUCAUCAUGGCCCUUACGAGUAGGGCUACACACGUGCUACAAUGGCGCAUACAAAGAGAAGCGACCUCGCGAGAGCAAGCGGACCUCACAAAGUGCGUCGUAGUCCGGAUCGGAGUCUGCAACUCGACUCCGUGAAGUCGGAAUCGCUAGUAAUCGUGGAUCAGAAUGCCACGGUGAAUACGUUCCCGGGCCUUGUACACACCGCCCGUCACACCAUGGGAGUGGGUUGCAAAAGAAGUAGGUAGCUUAACCUUCGGGAGGGCGCUUACCACUUUGUGAUUCAUGACUGGGGUGAAGUCGUAACAAGGUAACCGUAGGGGAACCUGCGGCUGGAUCACCUCCUU